Zea mays is the source of this 1586-nucleotide long non-coding RNA. RefSeq lists it as uncharacterized. NCBI's taxonomy places the organism in Eukaryota, Viridiplantae, Streptophyta, Magnoliopsida, Poales, Poaceae. The transcript is spliced from 3 exons. The record is from RefSeq and is a predicted model, not a curated record.
UGACCACCACACUCCAUGUCUCCAACCCCCCACUAAGCAAAGAGCCAAAGAGGCGACGGCCGGCAGGAGAUAUUCUUUUUCGCGUCCUCGCGCGGGAUCAGCGAUCAGAUAGCCUUUCUGCCCCCCUUCUUCUUCUUCUCUGACAGACCACGUACUCCUUCCUAUAGCCACCCACAUUACCGUGCCCGUGCGUGCAUCUCUCUUUCUGAAUGGAUGCAGAGCCUGUGCCAUCGCCAUUUGCGGCAUACUACUAGUACUAAUCUUCCUAAACUGAUCGGCAUCGACACUCAGCAGGCAGUCAGCAGCACCCUUCCUAGAUCGCCGUUACCGGAGGAGAACGGGGAGCGUGCAAAACAGGUCGUGAGGCACAGAGGCAGUAGCAAACCGACGAACAGAAGCCACGGUCUUGUCUCACGCAAAAGCAUUUUUUUCCAGGCACGUUGAUGCUUGCUGCUGUCUAGUUGAAAAGAAAGAGAAAUCUGGCGUCCGACACGGAGUAAUGCAUGCAGUAGCCGCAUGCUCAGUUUGCACCGGCCGGGAUCGCACCAUCGACGUCACUAAAGCUGCUGGCCUGUUGAUGAUCUGGUAUUACUUCUCAUUGCUGCUUUAUAUUAAACCAUCAAAAAGUUUGCACCAAGAAUGAAUCAGCUAUCGUUUGUCGCAUAAUAUAAAAAAAGUACAGGAAAAGUAGGAACGGGAGACAGAGGUAGACGAAUCGAUCGAGAGUUUGGAUGGAGCCCAUCCAUGUUAGAAAAAUGUGACAUCAGCUGCCAGUAGCCUUCGUCCUGAAGCUCCUUGGCGGUUGUCAUUCCAACAAGAACGAACCAACAGGGAGGUGCGGGGGAUGCAAGAGAAACACUAUCGUCUGCACUGCACAGGUCAGGCCGCCGUAGGCUGUGGGCGAAACGAAAGCUAUCCAAUCUGGCAGACUGAUGACUCACUGGCUGAGUGGCAGUGAUCGAUUCCGGGAAUACCCGAUGAAUUAUUGGUAGUAGGUGGUGGGGGAAACGUCUGCCGCCGCCUCGUUCCUGGGCAGAAUGAUCGCAAAUUCGCAAGUCUUCCCCUCCCUCCCAAGCGCAGGAGGUAUUAUAGUACGCCGAGCGGGCGAGGAGCCGGGAAGCCGCCGGGAAAAGGCACGCCGACGCCGGCAGCUGCACGGCCUUUCAGAGAGAGCGGAGGCCCGCCUUUACUCUCCGUUGCCUUUACCCUCCCUCCGCUUUAGUGCGAUGCGUCGUCGGACGUAGGCGCUGAUGCAACGCAACUUUCAUGGCGCGCGCGUGUUAGCAGACGGUUUUCCAUGGAGCGCGUGUUUGAUUCGAAUUCGAAUGAAUGCAAAUACCUCAGCAGUCGCAGUCGCAGUCGCAUGAUCAACUUUCAGCAAAGUCGUUAAACUGUGGCUAGCUCUCUCUCUCUCUCUAUAUAUCCGCAAAACGCUUUUUUACCGUCGUCGACUGUUCAGCUAAAGGUCAUCAUCAUCAUCAUAUCUGGAACGCGAGCCUGCUGAAUCGACGAGACACGAAGACGACGACACGCGACCUUGGCCCGCCUCCUUUCGCAUGCGCUUCGCCGGUCCACGGCCCAUCUCU